UGAACGCUGGCGGCGUGCUUAACACAUGCAAGUCGAACGAAGCACUUUAUUUGAUUUCCUUCGGGACUGAUUAUUUUGUGACUGAGUGGCGGACGGGUGAGUAACGCGUGGGUAACCUGCCUUGUACAGGGGGAUAACAGUUGGAAACGGCUGCUAAUACCACAUAAGCGCACAGCAUCGCAUGAUGCAGUGUGAAAAACUCCGGUGGUAUAAGAUGGACCCGCGUUGGAUUAGCUAGUUGGUGAGGUAACGGCCCACCAAGGCGACGAUCCAUAGCCGACCUGAGAGGGUGACCGGCCACAUUGGGACUGAGACACGGCCCAAACUCCUACGGGAGGCAGCAGUGGGGAAUAUUGCACAAUGGGCGAAAGCCUGAUGCAGCGACGCCGCGUGAGCGAAGAAGUAUUUCGGUAUGUAAAGCUCUAUCAGCAGGGAAGAUAAUGACGGUACCUGACUAAGAAGCACCGGCUAAAUACGUG
This 479-nucleotide ribosomal RNA is filed under the name uncultured bacterium. RNAcentral's name for it is "partial 16S ribosomal RNA". It matches the Rfam family "Bacterial small subunit ribosomal RNA", at positions 30 to 507 of the family's 1533-position model. The record is from RNAcentral.